AGUGAACGCUGGCGGUAGGUCUAACACAUGCAAGUCGAACGGCAGCACAGCAGUAGCAAUACUGUGGGUGGCGAGUGGCGGACGGGUGAGGAAUACAUCGGAAUCUACCUUUUCGUGGGGGGAUAACGUAGGGAAACUUACGCUAAUACCGCAUAAGACCUUCGGGUGAAAGUGGGGGACCUUCGGGCCUCACGCGGAUA
Molecule: ribosomal RNA, 200 nt
Filed under: uncultured bacterium
Lineage: Bacteria
Description: partial 16S ribosomal RNA
Rfam family: Bacterial small subunit ribosomal RNA
Source: RNAcentral